This is a long non-coding RNA of Phasianus colchicus (ring-necked pheasant), 2047 nucleotides long. Lineage: Eukaryota; Metazoa; Chordata; Aves; Galliformes; Phasianidae. The record is from Ensembl.
AUGUGUGGCUCUAGUCCCAGCAUGCUGAAUGCCGUGAAAUUAGCACUGCACGACUGGCAGUGCUUUGGCCCUUGCCUCCUCACAUUCUUGAUAGCCUGGGCUGCCCUGUGUUGUUUGUUCAACUUCUCCAAAAAAUGCCAUCAGCAGGUCUCUGUCAGGAGCUGGCACAGGACAUAUUGCAUGAAUACACAGGAAUCAGGUGGUGAGGUGCACACAGGUGAGCUUGGUCUGCUCUCCCUGGAUGGCAGGCCUCUGGGCCAGUUCUUGUGUUACAGACCUGACUGUGCUCGCUGCAGCCAGGCCAUCUGGAAGAGGCUUUUGCAGCACCAUGCCAGAUGGGCCAGAAUGAAGGCAUCCCACCAUCCGCACUCCUCUUCAUCUUCAAACUCCAGAACCUCCUGCAGGGAAGAGAAUACAGCCAGCGCAUCCCAUUCCUCAGCCAGGAGGAAUCUGACCACCCAAAUUUACCUAUCCUCUGUUGAACUCUUGUGCCAGUCAGAGCUGAGAAAACAGAGGAAAAUCCAUCUUGAGCACACAGCGAGAUACCAAAAAUUGCUGACAAUGCAGGGGCCAGCUGACGCAAUCACCUUCAAUCUUGGACUUCUUAGCCAGGCCCACCAACUUGCUGAGACAGAUCCCGUGCAGCCAAUGAGAGAUGUUUGCCACUGGACUGCAUCACUCCCUACCAUGGUUUCCUCUGCUGAUCUGCCCGCUGGAGUGGAUUCUCAUUGUGUGUCAAGGCUAGAACAAGUACUGGACUUCUGGAAGCUCCUGAAGAUGCAUAUCCUGAGGAAGUCUGUAGAGACCAAGCUGAGAGCCUUCCCCACCAUUGUGCAGCAGUCACACAAGAUGUACACACACAGGACAUCAGUUUGCACAGCUAACACACCACACCACUCCAGCAUUGCCCCCAUCUACUUCUGUUCACUGGAGGCUCUGUUCCUGGAGGAAGAGGUGCAGGAGACCCUGGAGCUCCACAUCCGUGAAAAGAAACUGCACCACCAGUGGGUCUUGUCUGGGAGGCUGCCAGCAACACCUCAGGCAUAGCCAACAUCCACAUGACUACAGUGUGCUUCACUCCACAUCCAUUACUCUUCUUGGCAUCUGGGAAUGGGCACCACAUAAGAUAUCAGGUGGAAACCAACUCCUGCUGCCUGCACUGUGAAGGCAGAGGCCUCCCCAUUGAAAAUGUCCCCCUGAUUUUUCCUAUUCCCAUUAAAAAUAUUAAAGCCAUUCCUCUCAAAUCUGAGUAUUUAUUACAGGCCACCAGGCUAGGAUGAGAAAACUGUUGAGGUCUUCCACACAAAGCUGAAUUUAGCCUCACAAUUACCGGCAUUUGUUUUCAUAGCCACCACCUGAUAUUUAUUGGACAUGUUCCAGACACAUUCAGUCUAGGAGAUUCCUGCAAUUUGUUGAAGAUAACUUUCUGACACAGGUGGUAGAGAACCCAGCAAGGAAAGAUGUGCUGCUGGAUCUUUUUCUUCCGAACAACAAAGGACUGGGGAAGUCUGGGAUGCAGUGAUCUCAAGACAGUAGAGUUCAAGGUUUUGUGUGGAAGAAGCAAGGCAAUAAGUAGGACUGAAGCCCUGAACUCCAAGAAAGCCAACUUUGUCCUGUUCAAGAACCUAGUUAGUAGUUAGAAAGUUGGAAGAAAAGGUGACCUACGAGUGCUGAUCGACAUUUAAGAAUCACUUUUGCCAUGCUUAGAAUCUCUAAGGGUAAGAAGUUGAACAAAAAAUGUAGAAACAACAAGGGGCUCACUUAUAAACUCAAAGAGAAGAAGAAAUACCAUAAAAUGUGGAGAAAGGGCCCAGUCACUAGGGAAGAAAACUGGAAUAUUAUCAGGCUUGCAGGGAUGCAACCAGGAAGGCUAAGGCUCACUUAUAAUUAAAUCUCGCAAUUAAUUAAAUCUGAGUAGACUGGGGAAAAGCAGUGGGUGUUGUUUACCUUGACUUCAGCAAGGCAUCUGAUGCUCUUUCCCACAAUAUCCUUGUCAUGAAACUUAAGAGUGUGGGAUAGGUGUGCAGACAGUGAGGUGGAUUGAGAA